UACAGAGGUCUCAAGCGUUGUUCGGAUUCAUUGGGCGUAAAGCGUGUGUAGGCGGAUCGUUAAGUACCUUGUGAAAUCCCACGGCUCAACCGUGGAACUGCUGGGUAUACUGGCGAUCUUGAGCCACCUAGGGGCGAGCGGAACAAGCGGUGGAGCGGUGAAGUGCGUAGAUAUCGCUUGGAACGCCAAUGGUGAAAACAGCUCGCUGGGGGUGUGCUGACGCUGAGACACGAAAGCCAGGGGAGCGAACGGG
Molecule: ribosomal RNA, 253 nt
Filed under: uncultured bacterium
Lineage: Bacteria
Description: partial 16S ribosomal RNA
Rfam family: Bacterial small subunit ribosomal RNA
Source: RNAcentral